AGUGCGAACAUUUUUUGCAAUAUUGCCAGAUGAGAAAAGAAAUUAAUAUUUUCGUAAAAUCCUCGAUUACAAUCAUCUUCAAUGGAUGAUUUUUGAAGGCAGAUGCUUUUUUGGAAGAAAGGAUUUAAUUGUGGACGAAAAAUUUUGCUCAGGAUGUUCAUGGAAAAAGUUUAUAUGUGAAGUGCGAACAUGAAGAUGAAGAAAACAAUCAUUUCCAUAAAAUCUUCGCAGUGAUUGUAUAAAUAAUCAUCGAAGACAGACUGUCUUUGCGAAAUAAAGGAAUGAAUUGAAAAUUUUGUCCAGGAAUUUUGUGGUUAAGUUUAGUGAAUUUUUUUGAAGAUCGAAAAAGGGGGCCAAAGAGUGAAAAAAGGAAAAAGGUCAAAAAAGGCAAAAAAGGCCAAAAAGGAAAAAAGAGUCAAUAAAGGCAGAAAGGACAAGAUCCGAAGGUAAGAAAAUUUAUACAACAGAAAUUAUUUCAUAUAUCGAAUAUUUAUUCUCUGCUUAUAGACAAUAUUCAUUAUGUACAACACUUAAUUUUUUUAUUAGUCUUAUAGUAACAAUGACUUUGAUUUUUUAAAACAAAAAUCACCAGGACUAUUGUUUCAUUAUAUUGAUAAUAAAUUACUUACACUAAAAACUGUACAAAAAUUAAAAUUUCAUUAUACAAAAACAAAAUACACACGCAGGCCACGCACAUAUACACAGAAACAUAUAUUUCGUCAAAAAAAAACAUUCUACGAACAAAAAUUUAAAAUUUACAGAUAAAAUUUUUUUUUCUCAAUUUAUUUACAAUUUUUUUACUAUAUCGGCAAAUGUUAUUUCACACUCGUUGGUUACUUAAAAAUCCGAGAUUAUUUUGGCAGUGACUCGAUUAUAUAUAUUUUCUUUUUUUUAUUUACAAAUCUCAGUUUUUUAACGAAACUCUUCGAAAGGAAAAUUUUUUUUUAUUAACCGAAACAGUAUAGGAGGAACUUUUAAAUAAAUAAUCUGAAUUUGUGAACAAAAAAUAAAACUUUGAAAGCAUGUAUAAAAUGAUUUUUGUACUUUAAAUCUAAAUUUUGAUUCUUUGCAAACUUUAUCUAGAUUUUGAAUAUUGUUCGUUUAUUCCCGGUACAUUUCUCAUGUAGUGGGAAUAGAAUUCGGUAAAUUUAAUUUUACAAUGUGAAUGUAAAAUUUGUAUUCUGUAUUUCGAUUUUGUUAUCAAAAAAAUCAUUAUUGGAGCAUUUUCCGUUUCUAAUGAUUUUUGAAAUAAUUAAUAGAAUCAACGAUCUAGAGAAAACGAAUGUUAGAAGUAAAAAAAAAAAAAAAAAACUGGGAAGGAAGUUCCAUUUUUAUAUGGAAUUUUCAUCCACGAAUUUAGCGUCAUUAGUUAAAAAUUUCACUGGAGUUUUGAAAGAAAUGUUUGGGCUCUUUUUUGGUAAUUGAAUUAAACAUUU
Long non-coding RNA from Leptopilina heterotoma, 1436 nucleotides. RefSeq lists it as uncharacterized. NCBI's taxonomy places the organism in Eukaryota, Metazoa, Arthropoda, Insecta, Hymenoptera, Figitidae. The record is from RefSeq and is a predicted model, not a curated record. The transcript has 3 exons.